Molecule: ribosomal RNA, 465 nt
Filed under: Vreelandella stevensii
Lineage: Bacteria; Pseudomonadati; Pseudomonadota; Gammaproteobacteria; Oceanospirillales; Halomonadaceae
Description: partial 16S ribosomal RNA
Rfam family: Bacterial small subunit ribosomal RNA
Source: RNAcentral
CCUACGGGUGGCAGCAGUGGGGAAUAUUGGACAAUCGGGGCAACCCUGAUCCAGCCAUGCCGCGUGUGUGAAGAAGGCCCUCGGGUUGUAAAGCACUUUCAGUGAGGAAGAACGCCUGGUGGUUAAUACCCAUCAGGAAAGACAUCACUCACAGAAGAAGCACCGGCUAACUCCGUGCCAGCAGCCGCGGUAAUACGGAGGGUGCGAGCGUUAAUCGGAAUUACUGGGCGUAAAGCGCGCGUAGGUGGCUUGAUAAGCCGGUUGUGAAAGCCCCGGGCUCAACCUGGGAACGGCAUCCGGAACUGUCAAGCUAGAGUGCAGGAGAGGAAGGUAGAAUUCCCGGUGUAGCGGUGAAAUGCGUAGAGAUCGGGAGGAAUACCAGUGGCGAAGGCGGCCUUCUGGACUGACACUGACACUGAGGUGCGAAAGCGUGGGUAGCAAACAGGAUUAGAUACCCUUGUAGUC